This 461-nucleotide ribosomal RNA is filed under the name uncultured bacterium. RNAcentral's name for it is "partial 16S ribosomal RNA". It matches the Rfam family "Bacterial small subunit ribosomal RNA", at positions 28 to 506 of the family's 1533-position model. The record is from RNAcentral.
GACGAACGCUGGCGGCGUGCUUAACACAUGCAAGUCGAGCGGAAAGGCCCUUCGGGGUACUCGAGCGGCGAACGGGUGAGUAACACGUGAGUAACCUGCCCUAGGCUUUGGGAUAACCCCGGGAAACCGGGGCUAAUACCGGAUAUGACCUGGUGCCGCAUGGUGUUGGGGGGCAAGUUUUUUCGGCCUGGGAUGGGCUCGCGGCCUAUCAGCUUGUUGGUGGGGUGAUGGCCUACCAAGGCGAUGACGGGUAGCCGGCCUGGGAGGGCGACCGGCCACAGUGGGACUGGGACACGGCCCAGACGCCUACGGGAGGCAAGAGUGGGGAAUAUUGCACAAUGGGCGGAAGCCUGAUGCAGCGACGCCGUGUGAGGGAUGAAGGCCUUCGGGUUGUAAACCUCUUUCAGCAGGGACGAAGCGUGAGUGACGGUACCUGCAGAAGAAGCGCCGGCCAACUACGU